Long non-coding RNA from Anguilla anguilla (European eel), 2295 nucleotides. RefSeq lists it as uncharacterized. The record is from RefSeq and is a predicted model, not a curated record. The transcript has 3 exons. Lineage: Eukaryota; Metazoa; Chordata; Actinopteri; Anguilliformes; Anguillidae.
GAACGGUGGAAGCGAGGCUCCUCCUUGCAGCCAAACUGAUUUCUGUGUAAGAAUGUGAGUAGGCAAAGUGCACAUUUUUGCGAGGAAAAAAAACCCCGCUGAAGUCAUUUUAGGACGGAUGUUAGAGAGGGAGGCUGAGCGGUACAUUCUCAGACAUGCACUGAUGUGGCUUACAUUUAGGGCGGACAACACGGGCUAAUUUAACAAACCAAGGAAAUGACAGUGACUGGAGAACAAGCUGUUCUAAAGACCGGGCCUUGCAGUGCAUCCCACACCCUCACAGAUGCUUGGCAAUGAAGAAUGGACUUUCUAUGUACUAGACCAAGCCACAGACAGCACUGGGCCUGAGCCUGGAAUUAAAAUAUGCGGCAUUCAAACAGGAAGUCAGAAACAGACCUUAUGGGUCUCAUGAGGUAGGACAGAGACAAUGCCAAGAACAUUUGUUUAGAAUUACUUCUGUGACUGUUUGUAAGUGGCAUGUGGAAAUGCGUGAUAAUAUCCUGGGACACUUUCGCUGUUUAAAGUUGUUAUGAUGUACUCUACAGUAAGUUGAUUAUGCUGUGACGAUUUGCUAUCAUUAUGCUUUCUACCCUAUUGUUUGAAUUCUGCUAACUAAAUGACACUUUGCUUAAUUAUUUCAUUUUGCAGUUUUGCAACAAAAAAAAGAUAAUAAUAUUCAUCUCCAUUUUGUAGGAUAUGGGCACUAGUCCCUCAUGGCAGUCAGCCAGGGACUGCUCACAUAUGUGAGUACCAAUUGAAGGCAGUAUUAAAAAAAGGCAGUUGUAAAUCAGAGAAUGAAAGAGCCAAGGUAAUUGUAUAAGGUUUAUGGAUAAGUCAAGAAAGCAUUGAUUUACUAUCACACUUUACAUACCCUUCAUGAAUAGUGGAAUAUGACAGAGCACAGUACAGAAACGCCAUGCAUGUGGUGGAUUAGCUGAUUAAUGCAGUGUGCUACAGUGCAUUGUUGCAAAGUCUCUCACUCCUUUGAACUACCAUGAAAUGGUGCCUCUGUAUUUUUUCCCCCACAGUGAUGCAUUUCUUAAUCUAUGGCUAGGACUACUGUGCCAUGUAUUAUAUUUUGUCAUAGUUCUUACACUACAAUGGCCUUUUCUGAUUUCGUUUUUUGCUUUACGUCUGUCUAUCAUGUUUUAACUGGAUGAAAAUAAGAUGUUGAAAUUGACACACACACACACACACACACAUAUACAUACAUGUACAUGAACAACAAUCCCUGUUCUUCUUGCCAGGAUUUGUUCACACCUGCUGAUUAUAGCAACCGAUGACAGAUAAGUUACUUUGCCACCCCAAUAGAUGGAUUGAGAUCCUCAAUUUACAGUGGGUGAUACAUGAUGUCUCACAAGCAUUCAUACAUUGUAUCACAAAAAUCUUAGCUGUUUGCACAUGUAACAUAAUGGACAACUACUGCAAAUACAGGGCUUCAUAUCAGUAUCACUUACUGUCUCAUUAUGACGUGUUUUGUAAGUAGCAAUGAAAAGGAAGUUCUAACAUCAUAUCUAAAAACUUGUGUACACCACAUAUUCAUGAUCUUUUAGGGAAAGGUCCUCAGAAAUUCUGUACCAGACUGAGCUGGCAUAAUGGCCCUUAUGAACCUACUGGCAGUUGAAGAGUUCCCAUGAUUGCCAUAUCUGUUUCUGUAGUUGAUUUCACAAUGGUUUCAAUGGAUGCUUUUUCACAGUAAGCUUUACAGCUUUCAAUCAUCUUUCCUGUGUGAUACUAUCUCUUAUGCUAGGCAGCUGUGCUGUGCAUGCUGCCCCUAUCCAAAUGCACAGCACGGUGUACGAAGUGCAGAAGGUGGAAGUGGUUUAAAAACCGUUAAAGUAGCGGUUUAGAAGGUAGGGCUGUGUGGCCAGUGAUGGGAAACAGUCGUUAGGGGAAGAGUAACCACCCAACAGAGGAAGCGCCUCGUCAUCUUCAAAGCCUCUUUGUCAGCUGUUGCGGAAGAAAAGCGUAUAGAGCCCAGACUCUAUCUGCAGGUUUUUAUAGGAGUGGAGCAUCUCAGUCAGCCAAAGAGGCAUCAUGUCAAAUCCAUCUUACUGGCCAUCCCAAACAGUAGAACAUCAGCAGUGCUAUUUCUUGUCAUUUUUUGUCUUUAAAAGACACUAAGUGACACUACAAGCUUAGACAGUAUUGUUCUCAGUAUCGAUUCAAUCACAUAAUGAAGAGAGCAGACAGAUGUUGACCUCUUUUAUGAACAGUUCUAACACUAUGUAUAACACAGGUGCCUCAAGUAACCUACUGUAUAUGUUUUCAGAAAUAAACCAGUUUAACAAGACA